AACGAACGCUGGCGGCAUGCCUAACACAUGCAAGUCGAACGAAGUCUUCGGACUUAGUGGCGCACGGGUGCGUAACGCGUGGGAAUCUGCCCUUGGGUGCGGAAUAACUUCUCGAAAGGGAUGCUAAUACCGCAUAAUGUCGUAAGACCAAAGAUUUAUCGCCCAAGGAUGAGCCCGCGUAAGAUUAGCUAGUUGGUGGGGUAAAAGCCUACCAAGGCGACGAUCUUUAGCUGGUCUGAGAGGAUGAUCAGCCACACUGGGACUGAGACACGGCCCAGACUCCUACGGAGGCAACAGUGGGGGAUAUUGGACAAUGGCGAAGCCUGAUCCAGCAAU
This 336-nucleotide ribosomal RNA is filed under the name uncultured bacterium. RNAcentral's name for it is "bacterial SSU rRNA". It matches the Rfam family "Bacterial small subunit ribosomal RNA", at positions 29 to 395 of the family's 1533-position model. The record is from RNAcentral.